UACGGAGGGGGCGAGCGUUAUUCGGAAUUAUUGGGCGUAAAGGGCGCGUAGGCGGCCUUGCAAGUCAAAGGUGAAAUCCCUCGGCUCAACUGAGAAACUGCCUUUGAAACUGUAAGGCUUGAGGCCGGGAGGGGGUAGCGGAAUUCCCAGUGUAGCGGUGAAAUGCGUAGAUAUUGGGAGGAACACCAGUGGCGAAGGCGGCUACCUGGACCGGUUCUGACGCUGAUGCGCGAAAGCGUGGGUAGCAAACAGG
Molecule: ribosomal RNA, 253 nt
Filed under: uncultured bacterium
Lineage: Bacteria
Description: partial 16S ribosomal RNA
Rfam family: Bacterial small subunit ribosomal RNA
Source: RNAcentral